AGUGAACGCUGGCGGUAGGCCUAACACAUGCCAGUCGAACGGCAGCACAGUAAGAGCUUGCUCUUACGGGUGGCGAGUGGCGGACGGGUGAGGAAUACAUCGGAAUCUACUUUUUCGUGGGGGAUAACGUAGGGAAACUUACGCUAAUACCGCAUACGACCUACGGGUGAAAGCAGGGGAUCUUCGGACCUUGCGCGAUUGAAUGAGCCGAUGUCGGAUUAGCUAGUUGGCGGGGUAAAGGCCCACCAAGGCGACGAUCCGUAGCUGGUCUGAGAGGAUGAUCAGCCACACUGGAACUGAGACACGGUCCAGACUCCUACGGGAGGCAGCAGUGGGGAAUAUUGGACAAUGGGCGCAAGCCUGAUCCAGCCAUACCGCGUGGGUGAAGAAGGCCUUCGGGUUGUAGAGCCCUUUUGUUGGGAAAGAAAAGCAGCAGGUUAAUACCGCGCUGUUCUGACGGUACCCAAAGAAUAAGCACCGGCUAACUUCGUG
RNAcentral lists this ribosomal RNA (492 nucleotides) under uncultured bacterium. Its description in RNAcentral is "partial 16S ribosomal RNA". It matches the Rfam family "Bacterial small subunit ribosomal RNA", at positions 29 to 507 of the family's 1533-position model. The record is from RNAcentral.